UACGGGGGGGGCAAGCGUUGUUCGGAUUUACUGGGCGUAAAGUGUGCGCAGGUGGCCGCGCAAGUCGAGUGUGAAAUCCCCGAGCUUAACUUGGGAAUUGCGCUCGAAACUACGUGGCUCGAGUGUGGCAGAGGAAGGUGGAAUUCCACGUGUAGCGGUGAAAUGCGUAGAGAUGUGGAGGAACACCGAUGGCGAAGGCAGCCUUCUGGGCCAACACUGACGCUCAUGCACGAAAGCGUGGGGAGCAAACAGG
RNAcentral lists this ribosomal RNA (253 nucleotides) under uncultured bacterium. RNAcentral's name for it is "partial 16S ribosomal RNA". It matches the Rfam family "Bacterial small subunit ribosomal RNA", at positions 524 to 776 of the family's 1533-position model. The record is from RNAcentral.